AUGCAAGUCGAGCGGAUGACGGGAGCUUGCUCCCGGAUUCAGCGGCGGACGGGUGAGUAAUGCCUAGGAAUCUGCCUGGUAGUGGGGGACAACGUUUCGAAAGGAACGCUAAUACCGCAUACGUCCUACGGGAGAAAGUGGGGGACCUUCGGGCCUCACGCUAUCAGAUGAGCCUAGGCCGGAUUAGCUAGUUGGUGAGGUAAAGGCUCACCAAGGCGACGAUCCGUAACUGGUCUGAGAGGAUGAUCAGUCACACUGGAACUGAGACACGGUCCAGACUCCUACGGGAGGCAGCAGUGGGGAAUAUUGGACAAUGGGCGAAAGCCUGAUCCAGCCAUGCCGCGUGUGUGAAGAAGGUCUUCGGAUUGUAAAGCACUUUAAGUUGGGAGGAAGGGCAGUAAGCGAAUACCUUGCUGUUUUGACGUUACCGACAGAAUAAGCACCGGCUAACUCUGUGCCAGCAGCCGCGGUAAUACAGAGGGUGCAAGCGUUAAUCGGAAUUACUGGGCGUAAAGCGCGCGUAGGUGGUUUGUUAAGUUGAAUGGGAAA
This 549-nucleotide ribosomal RNA is filed under the name Pseudomonas syringae pv. atrofaciens. Its description in RNAcentral is "bacterial SSU rRNA". It matches the Rfam family "Bacterial small subunit ribosomal RNA", at positions 55 to 599 of the family's 1533-position model. The record is from RNAcentral. Lineage: Bacteria; Pseudomonadati; Pseudomonadota; Gammaproteobacteria; Pseudomonadales; Pseudomonadaceae.